Molecule: ribosomal RNA, 245 nt
Filed under: uncultured Microgenomates group bacterium
Lineage: Bacteria
Description: partial 16S ribosomal RNA
Rfam family: Bacterial small subunit ribosomal RNA
Source: RNAcentral
CGAGGGAUGAAUUUUGACCGUACCUCGCUAGAAAGCACCUGCUAACUACGUGCCAGAAGCCUCGGUAAUACGUAGGGUGCUAGCGUUAUCCGGAUUUACUGGGCGUAAAGCGUCCGUCGGCGUCUUGGUAAGUUUUUCGUUUAAGCCUGGGGCUCAACUCCAGAAAAGCGAGAAAUACUGCCAGGAUUGAGUUUGUUUGGGGGAACUAGAAUUCUCGGUGGAGGGGUGAAAUCCGUAGAUAUCGA